This 472-nucleotide ribosomal RNA is filed under the name uncultured bacterium. RNAcentral describes it as "bacterial SSU rRNA". It matches the Rfam family "Bacterial small subunit ribosomal RNA", at positions 927 to 1380 of the family's 1533-position model. The record is from RNAcentral.
AAGCGGUGGAGUAUGUGGUUUAAUUCGAACGCAAACGCGCAAAACCUUACCCAGUCUUGACAUCCCAGGAACCUGUAUGAAAAGUACCGGGGGUGCCCCCCUCACGGGGGGAGCCUGGUGACAGGUGCUGCAUAGGCUGUCGUCAGCUCGUGUCGUGAGAUGUUCGGUUAAGUCCGGCAACGAGCGCAACCCCUGUUGUUAGUGCCAGCACGUUCGGGUGGGCACUCUAACGAGACUCCCCGGUGAUAAGCCGGCGGAAGAUGGGGAUGACGUCAAGUCCUCAUGGCCUUUAUGAUUGGGGCUACACACGUACUACAAUGGCGAACUACAGAGGGCAGCAAGAUCGCGAGAUGGAGCCAAUCCCCAAAAAAAGUCGCCUCAGUUCGGAUUGGAGUCUGCAACUCGACUCCAUGAAGUCGGAAUCGACUAGUAAUCGCGGAUCAGCAUGCCGCGGUGAAUACGUUCCCGGGCC